Molecule: small nuclear RNA, 103 nt
Filed under: Marmota marmota marmota (Alpine marmot)
Lineage: Eukaryota; Metazoa; Chordata; Mammalia; Rodentia; Sciuridae
Also listed under: 1 other name
Source: RNAcentral
UCGCUUUGGCAGCACAUAUACUAAAAUUGAAAUGAUACAGAGAAGAUUAGCAUGAGCCUUGCACAAGGAUGACAUGCAAAUUUGUAAAGUAUUCCACAUUUUU